UACGUAGGGGGCUAGCGUUGUUCGGAAUUACUGGGCGUAAAGCGUACGUAGGCGGCUUUGUAAGUUAGAGGUGAAAGCCCGGAGCUCAACUCCGGAACUGCCUUUAAGACUGCAUCGCUAGAAUCCGGGAGAGGUGAGUGGAAUUCCGAGUGUAGAGGUGAAAUUCGUAGAUAUUCGGAAGAACACCAGUGGCGAAGGCGGCUCACUGGACCGGUAUUGACGCUGAGGUACGAAAGCGUGGGGAGCAAACAGG
RNAcentral lists this ribosomal RNA (253 nucleotides) under uncultured bacterium. RNAcentral's name for it is "partial 16S ribosomal RNA". It matches the Rfam family "Bacterial small subunit ribosomal RNA", at positions 524 to 776 of the family's 1533-position model. The record is from RNAcentral.